GUCCAGGUUGGUGUGUAGCAGGAUUGUAAAAUAAAUCAGGUUAAAAUCACAAAGCAGGAUAGUGGUAUAAUGCAGGUUGGUUUGUAGAUUUGUUCAGGUUGAAACUAAAGUAGCCUGAUCGAGUAGUCCAGGUUGAUAAUAAGAAGCUUGCUAGCAAUGAAGGUUGGCAAUGUAGAUCGGCUUGGAAUAAAGAGGUUUGGUAGAGAAGAUAUGGUUGAUAUCCAACAGGACAAGAACAAUGCAGGUAAGUUCACAGGAGCCAGGAAACAGAAGUAUUUUCAAAAAAACCAUUGACUUCAAUCUAAAGGCCCUAUCUUGAGCAGGGUGUAGCCUUUUGUAACUUAAGUGAUUAAUCCAGGCAGGUGAAAAUGAGUCUAGAAAAGUUAAGAGCUAAUGGUUAUGUAGGCCUCUAGUGGCAAAACAUAGUCAAGGCGGGAACAUAAUUAAAUGAAAGGGAAUAAAGUUCUGUUAUCAUGGUUUCAAACCUGACACACGGUCUGUAGUUCUGCACUCAGUGAAGCUGCAGACUAGAGGCUCUCCCAGGACAGACUGAUGGAGGGACCCGGCAGCAUACAGGGAAAGCCGCCUGGCCCCUCCUCUUGUUGGGUUCUCAUACACCUCUGCCGCCACUGCUGCAUAUAUAUGCCACCCCUGUUAAAGUGCUGCCUGGGGCCAUUAACCCAGUCCGUCCUAUGGACGGGCCGGCUCUGACUAGCCCCCAGCACACAAUUACAAAUGUCUUUGUAUGUGCAGUGUUUCAAGCUUAAACACUGACUCCUACCACCAUUACCACUUCAAAUAAGUAAUCAUGGUGGUGGGAGUAACCCUUUAAAUAUCU
Molecule: non-coding RNA, 838 nt
Organism: Pelobates cultripes (western spadefoot toad)
Lineage: Eukaryota; Metazoa; Chordata; Amphibia; Anura; Pelobatidae
Source: the annotation of a GenBank genome assembly